AGAGUAAGCGUAGGCGAUUACGGACUCGAUGAGUCUGAGGAAAGUCCGGGCUCCCGAAAGACCAAACUUGCUGGGUAACGCCCAGUGCGAGCGAUCGUGAGGAUAGUGCCACAGAAAAAUACCGCCUUCGGGUAAGGGUGCAAAGGUGUGGUAAGAGCGCACCAGCAACGUCGUGAGGCGUUGGCUCGGUAAACCCCGGUUGGGAGCAAGGUCGGAGAAACUAGGGUUGGUCUUUUCCCCGUUUCGUUGAAUAGUGGUACCGCUAGAGGUGUCUGGUAACAGCCAUCCCAGAUAGAUAAUCGCCGUUGGUGUGCUAAUUGCCACCAAUAACAGAACCCGGCUUAUGUCUAACUCUUUCU
This 359-nucleotide RNase P RNA is filed under the name Oscillatoriales cyanobacterium CG2_30_40_61. RNAcentral's name for it is "RNase P RNA component class A". It matches the Rfam family "Bacterial RNase P class A". From Rfam's summary of the family: Ribonuclease P (RNase P) is a ubiquitous endoribonuclease, found in archaea, bacteria and eukarya as well as chloroplasts and mitochondria. Its best characterised activity is the generation of mature 5'-ends of tRNAs by cleaving the 5'-leader elements of precursor-tRNAs. Lineage: Bacteria; Bacillati; Cyanobacteriota; Cyanophyceae; Oscillatoriales. The record is from RNAcentral.